Astatotilapia calliptera (eastern happy) is the source of this 1630-nucleotide long non-coding RNA. NCBI's taxonomy places the organism in Eukaryota, Metazoa, Chordata, Actinopteri, Cichliformes, Cichlidae. The record is from Ensembl.
AGUAAAUGGCUUGUGAAUCCUCAUGGCAAGUUCUCCCAGCGCAAUGAGACUCUGUAACAGGAAGUUCAGACAACAACACAUUCAUGUGUGAACACGUUACCAAGUUCUCAUGCAAACAUUCUUUUCUUGCCCUUCAAACAAGACACACAGGCAGGUAGGGCUGCAACAAACUAUUUAAACUAACACGCCUUUUAUUGCUGUCAUAUAAUACAUCUGUUUGGGGGGUUUUUAACUACAUGAAACACACAUAAAGUUAAAACCUUUCUUUUUUGUCUAUUACAUGUUGGCUUUGGCACAUAUUGGUAAAUGGCCUGCAUUUGUAUAGCGCUUUACUCAGUCCCUAAGGACCCCAAAGCGCUUUACACUACAUUCAGUCAUUCACCCAUUCACACACUGGCAAUGGCAAGAUACGUUGUAGCCACAGCUGCCCUGGGCGCACUGACAGACACGUGGCUGCCGGACACUGGUGCCACCGGGCCCUCUGUCCACCACCAGUAGGUAAACAUGGGGUAAGUAUCUUGCCCAAGGAUAUUUGGCAUGCAGCCAGGAGGCAGCGUGGGAUCAAACCACCGAUCUUCUGAUUUCUCUUUCACUGACUUGUGAACACUGUUUGUGAUCUGCCUUGUUUCUCUGUUCAUUUGUCAUUUGCCUGACAGUUAAAGGCAACCUGAGCUCGUCUCACAGCUUCCUUUGUGUCUCUGUAGGUUUCAUUUCUAACUAGUCACGAUGCCAGAGAGCGAUAGACCUCAACACACUUGGAUACCUCGAGUAAUAAGGUGUAUCUAUGGGAUUUUUCUCAUCAUGUUUAUUGUUGAGGGGAUUGUUGGAUGUGUGUACUUUAAUGACUGUCCAAGGGCGCCCUCCAUUCCCGUCAUUCUGGUUUUUUGUGGAUUCAUACCUGUCUUGUGGGGAUUGAGCCGGUUUUUGAACAGGUGCAAUAUUUUCUUCGACUGUCUGUUCCUCUACCUCUUUUUUGCCUGGUUCAUCAUCGGUAGCAUAAUCGUCUACUCCAUCUAUGAACCCGACUACAACAAGAACACUACAGACACCGAUCACUACUGCAACAAGACGCUCUACCUGUCUGCAUUUUGUUGCAUCACCCUGACCUACGUCCUGACAGGUGUUUAUGUUUUCACUUAUUUUUUUGCUCGCUGCACCAACCAGAUGGUUUACGAUGAUGAGGAUCGGCCACUGCUGUGGAGCUAAUCAUAUGAAAGUGUGUACGUAGACCAAUACUGAUGAAACAGAUUAGAAUGGUGCCACAAUAAAAUAUAUCACACUGUAUGAACAUAUGCUACUACUACUACUAAUAAUAAUACUAAUGGCACGGACUGAAAUAAAAUCAUAAGCAAACAACAGACCAAAUAUUAUAUUAAUAUUUUAAUCUGUUCUUUAUUUAGAACAUCAUACAUUUAAGGAAGAAGUGAACAUGACUUAUUGAGAUACAGAAUUCGGUUAAGACACUGAUGACCCAUCAUGGCAGAGUAAAUGAUCAUGAUUUUCCCUGUUUAACAAACAUAUAUAAGUUUUGUGUUAAUGAAAUGUGUGAUUUUGUUUAUUUGCCAACAUUCAUGCCGUUUCUUUUUUGUUUAAUUUUAAGUCAACAAAAAUAAAUAAAUAAAUAAAUAAA